ACACCGCCCGUCGCUACUACCGAUUGAACGGCUCAGUGAGGCCUUCGGACUGGCCCCAGGAGGUCGGCAACGACCACCAGGGGCCGGAAAGUUGGUCAAACUUGGUCGUUUAGAGGAAGUAAAAGUCGUAACAAGGUUUCCGUAGGUGAACCUGCGGAAGG
RNAcentral lists this ribosomal RNA (161 nucleotides) under [Coniosporium] sp. MA4666. RNAcentral's name for it is "Coniosporium sp. MA4666 partial 18S ribosomal RNA". It matches the Rfam family "Eukaryotic small subunit ribosomal RNA", at positions 1666 to 1824 of the family's 1831-position model. Lineage: Eukaryota; Fungi; Ascomycota; Eurotiomycetes; Chaetothyriales; Herpotrichiellaceae. The record is from RNAcentral.